ACAAAAAAUCCAAAAAUAAACUUCAAUGUGAAUUUUGAUUUGGGCUAUAU
RNAcentral lists this small RNA (50 nucleotides) under Arabidopsis thaliana (thale cress). RNAcentral's name for it is "ATSL104850". The record is from RNAcentral. Lineage: Eukaryota; Viridiplantae; Streptophyta; Magnoliopsida; Brassicales; Brassicaceae.